This 445-nucleotide ribosomal RNA is filed under the name uncultured bacterium. RNAcentral's name for it is "bacterial SSU rRNA". It matches the Rfam family "Bacterial small subunit ribosomal RNA", at positions 354 to 796 of the family's 1533-position model. The record is from RNAcentral.
GUAGGGAAUAUUGGGCAAUGGAGGCAACUCUGACCCAGCCAUGCCGCGUGCAGGAUGACGGCCCUCUGGGUUGUAAACUGCUUUUAUACGGGAAGAAAAAAUACUACGUGUAGUAUACUGACGGUACCGUAAGAAUAAGGAUCGGCUAACUCCGUGCCAGCAGCCGCGGUAAUACGGAGGAUCCAAGCGUUGUCCGGAUUUAUUGGGUUUAAAGGGUGCGUAGGCGGAUCUUUAAGUCAGUGGUGAAAGCCUGCAGCUUAACUGUAGAAUUUCCAUUGAAACUGAAGAUCUUGAAUGUGGUUAAAGUAGGCGGAAUGUAUCAUGUAGCGGUGAAAUGCUUAGAUAUGAUACAGAACACCGAUAGCGAAGGCAGCUUGCUGAACCAUUAUUGACGCUGAGGCACGAAAGCGUGGGGAGCGAACAGGAUUAGAAACCCCGGUAGUCC